This 651-nucleotide ribosomal RNA is filed under the name uncultured bacterium. Its description in RNAcentral is "bacterial SSU rRNA". It matches the Rfam family "Bacterial small subunit ribosomal RNA", at positions 336 to 1003 of the family's 1533-position model. The record is from RNAcentral.
CUCCUACGGGAGGCUGCAGUCGGGAAUUUUGGGCAAUGGGGGAAACCCUGACCCAGCAACGCCGCGUGAAGGAUGAAGUAUUUCGGUAUGUAAACUUCGAAAGAAUAGGAAGAAUUAAUGACGGUACUAUUUAUAAGGUCCGGCUAACUACGUGCCAGCAGCCGCGGUAAUACGUAGGGACCAAGCGUUGUUCGGAUUUACUGGGCGUAAAGGGCGCGUAGGCGGCAUGGCAAGUCACUUGUGAAAUCUCCGGGCUUAACUCGGAACGGCCAAGUGAUACUGCUGAGCUAGAGUGCAGAAGGGGCAAUCGGAAUUCUUGGUGUAGCGGUGAAAUGCGUAGAUAUCAAGAGGAACACCUGAGGUGAAGACGGGUUGCUGGGCUGACACUGACGCUGAUGCGCGAAAGCUAGGGGAGCAAACGGGAUUAGAUACCCCGGUAGUCCUAGCCCUAAACGAUGAAUACUUGGUGUCUGGAGGUUUAAUACUCCGGGUGCCGUCGCUAACGUUUUUAGUAUUCCGCCUGGGGAGUACGUACGCAAGUAUGAAACUCAAAGGAAUUGACGGGGACCCGCACAAGCGGUGGAGCAUGUGGUUUAAUUCGACGCAACGCGAAGAACCUUACCUGAGCUAGAAUGUGAGGGAAUGUUGGGG